This is a long non-coding RNA of Quercus lobata, 836 nucleotides long. RefSeq lists it as uncharacterized. The transcript is spliced from 6 exons. The record is from RefSeq and is a predicted model, not a curated record. Lineage: Eukaryota; Viridiplantae; Streptophyta; Magnoliopsida; Fagales; Fagaceae.
UGAUUAGAAUGUUUCCCAUUAUGGAUUUGUUUCCAAUUGAAGCUUAUGCACGUGGACUUGGCAAAAUGAGAUUUCAGUCCCCCUGUUGAUGGGAAAAAUUGUGGUAGUAUACCUCAUUUUUAUGAUUUUAGGCAUUCUUUGGUGGAAGGGCUGUUUGGGAGGGAGGAUAUCAAGGUAAAAGGUAAGAAAGUUAAUUAUGCUGCAAAGGUCCAUGGCUUUUGAGGUAUCACCCUACCCAGUGGUGUCAGGCAAGCCAGCCACCUUUGGUCUAAUUAGUACUACCAGUUAUGCUCUCUUCAAAACUGUUGCCUGAGAUGGAAGUGGAGGACAACUACAAGAGAGAGCGGUUGCUUCACCCUACCCAGUGGUGGCUGGCUUGCCACCUUUGGUCUAAUUAGUACUGCCAGUUAUGCUCUCUUCAAAACUGUUGCCUGAGAUGGAAGUGAAGGACAACUCCAAGAGAGAGCAGUUGCUUCAUGGGAUGCAAAACUUGCCAUUAUCCUCACAAAUUGAGAAGUUAAAGAAAAAAUGUUAGCUGACAUGCAUAAAGCCUAUUUGUUUGGAACCCGUCAAGGCUGCAAAAAUUGCCCCAACUUUGGAUAAGGGUCAGGCUGCAAAAAUUCAAGAGAAAGAGAAUUUAUUCCGAGCUGCUGUAAAUUUUGGCAAAGGCCUUACUCUCAACUGUCUCUUUACAUUCAAUGCCUUUUAGAUUAUCUGCUUUUCAUCUAGCUCUAAAUUUAUAUAGGUUAUUUGCUUUCUUGUAUCUUGAGAUGAAAGGUCUUGCAUUUCUCAUGCAAUCUAGUCUUGUAACUUAGUUUCAGCAAUUUGUCGUCAAA